GAAGUGGGUAGUCCGCACGAGCGCACCUCACUUUUAGUUGCCAUCAUUAAGUUGGGCACUCUGAAAGAACUGCCAGUGAUAAGCUGGAGGAAGGUGGGGAUGACGUCAAGUCCUCAUGGCCCUUACGUGUUGGGCUACACACGUGCUACAAUGGCAUCUACAACAGGAAGCAAAACGGCAACGUUAAGCAAAUCCCGAAAAGAUGCCUCAGUUCGGAUUGCACUCUGCAACUCGAGUGCAUGAAGCUGGAAUUACUAGUAAUCGUGGAUCAGCGUGCCACGGUGAAUGCGUUCCCGGGUCUUGUACACACCGCCCGUCACACCAUGGGAGUUGGUUCUACCUUAAGGCAAGGUUUUAAACCCUUGACCACGGUAUAGUCAGCGACUGGGGUGAAGUCGUAACAAGGUAGCCGUAGGGGAACCUGCGGCUGGAUUACCUCCUUUCU
RNAcentral lists this ribosomal RNA (445 nucleotides) under uncultured Pelagibacterales bacterium. RNAcentral describes it as "bacterial SSU rRNA". It matches the Rfam family "Bacterial small subunit ribosomal RNA", at positions 1071 to 1533 of the family's 1533-position model. The record is from RNAcentral. Lineage: Bacteria; Pseudomonadati; Pseudomonadota; Alphaproteobacteria; Candidatus Pelagibacterales.